CGCAUAUUGCGCCCUUUGGUAUUCCAUAGGGCAUGCCUGUUCGAGCGUCAUAAAAAAAUUCAAACUUUUUGGAGUUUGGUAGUGGAAUUGGCGUUUUGGUUUUUCAAUUCGCCCUUCCGAAUAACAGUGCCGGCAUUACACAAAUGUCUUGGAGCGUAGUAACAUUUUUUCUCCUUCAAGUCUUGUAUUCAACUGCUCGCUAUAGAAAUACAUUUACUGGAGUAAAAUCCAAAUUUUUGACCUCGGAUCAGGUAGGGAUACCCGCUGAACUUAA
RNAcentral lists this unclassified non-coding RNA (274 nucleotides) under Sporormiaceae sp. Its description in RNAcentral is "partial contains 5.8S ribosomal RNA, internal transcribed spacer 2, and large subunit ribosomal RNA". Lineage: Eukaryota; Fungi; Ascomycota; Dothideomycetes; Pleosporales; Sporormiaceae. The record is from RNAcentral.